GGGUGUAUAGCUCAAGUGGUAGAGUGCAUGCUUAGCACGCAUUAGGCCGUAGGUUCAAUCCCCAGUGCCUCCA
RNAcentral lists this transfer RNA (73 nucleotides) under Camelus bactrianus (Bactrian camel). It matches the Rfam family "tRNA". From Rfam's summary of the family: Transfer RNA (tRNA) molecules are approximately 80 nucleotides in length. Their secondary structure includes four short double-helical elements and three loops (D, anti-codon, and T loops). The record is from Rfam by way of RNAcentral. Lineage: Eukaryota; Metazoa; Chordata; Mammalia; Artiodactyla; Camelidae. RNAcentral also lists the same sequence under 2 other names.